RNAcentral lists this long non-coding RNA (41043 nucleotides) under Malus domestica (apple). Its description in RNAcentral is "long non-coding RNA (MDOM_LNC007213)". The record is from RNAcentral. Lineage: Eukaryota; Viridiplantae; Streptophyta; Magnoliopsida; Rosales; Rosaceae.
UUGUGUUGUUGUAUUGCAUUGAAUUAUACUUCAUCCAAACACUUCCAGGUGUGUCCGUAUUCAUUUCAAAAACGUUUCCAAUAAAUUUUAUGUUAUUUGUAUGUUUUUCAGACAAAGAAGGGCAAGAGGAUGAACCUGAUUACACAAUUGCAAAGACGAGGGCUGCUAGCAAUAACUGCAGCCUGAGAGGCUGGAAGGUGCGCCUCACAGCUGUCGGCUUCUUUUUCGCGCUUGCUCUAGUAGGUUGGUCCUCCAUCUCCCAAAAAAAGAAGCGACAAUCGUCCACAAGCCCACCAUGAGUUUGUAAUUUGACUUCAAAUGUGCUUGCUCUAGUAGCUAAGCACUCUUAACCGCUUGAGAUAUAAAAGCCCAUUGCAACUAGAUACUGAACUUCAAAUGUGUUCAACGCCAUCAAAUAUAGCAUAAAAUACAUCCAGCAUUAGGUUCCAAGCCCACUAUUGAAAAUCAUGUUCAUCCACUCUACACAUCCAAGGCAGCAAACUAACUAGGAUACCAGGUUGGGAGGAUACAAUCAUUAACAAUUUCAAAAGCUAUAAAUGCAAUCCGAAUACAUGGCAAGUAGGGGUAAGCAUGUGAACAAAAAAAUCAGUGAACAUAAUCAAAUCCAAUACGUCAAUUUUGGCCUAGAUUGAAAUGAAAAAAACAAGGAAAUGCUUUGUGUAUCGAUUUGUUUAUGAAGGAAAUAAAACAUAUUUCAUGGAAAGAAAACCUGUGGUUACCUUUGUCUUCCUCUGCCAUUUGUCUAUCGAUUUGUUUCUGAAAGUGGCUAUUCUACAAGAUACAACAUGACAGGUCUUAGUUAGACCAAGUAAACGGCAUGGAAAUGCUUUCUGAAGCAAGAAUGUGUACUCAAGAGCUUUGUGCCAGAGAGGUCGUCGUACCCAGUGCACAAGGCUCCCGCUUUACGCAGGGUCUGGGAGAGGUGAAUGUCGGCUAGCCUUACCCCUAUUUAUGGAGAGGACUUAAGAAAAAUGAAAAAAACAAUAUAGAAUAUGGGUAAGAAUAAAUUUCGAUUAGACAAUAAUUCACUGUAUAAAUCGUUUUUUCAACUUUAAAGUGUGGCUUAAAAAGAAGCUUUAAACAAGUAGCAAUAAUUUCAUAUUGAAAAAUAAAACCUAUUUCAUGGAUAUUACAAGAGCCAUUAUUUUGAAAAACACACCUUUUGGUUCUUCACCACUUGACUUUUAAGAAGAUCUUCGUCCUUGUGACGAUUCAAAUUCUUUAAAAUAUCUCUACGACGGAAUAAACAAAACCAAUCUAGGCCAAAAUUGACUUGUUCGAUUUGAUUAUGUUCACUGAUUUUUCUGUUCACAUGUUUACCCCUACUUGCCAUAUAGUUUUGGGGUGUUAGUGCAUAGUGCUCUUCUCUUUACACACCAGUUUCAAUUUUAUUCUUCGUAAAUUAAGAGACCGUUUGAUAAUCAUUUCGUUUUCAAUUUAAAAAAUAUAAAAAACUAAAUGAAGUUUUCAACUAGAAUUUUCGCUUUUGGUUUUCAAUUUUAAUUUUUUUUAAAACAACUGAAAACUAAAAAUAGUUGCAAAAAGAAUUUUUCAUUUUUUUUUAAUUUAUAAAAAAGUAAAAACUGAAAACUCUAAACUAUAGACUAAAAAUUAAAAAGUGAAAUCGAAAUGGGCUCUCAACAAAAUUGAAAAAAGACUGGGCUGAAUUACUGAAUUCAAAGCAGGGCUUAUUAACGUUACGAGGCCCAAUGGAUCUGGAUAAAUAUUUUUCAUUUUUUUUUAACAAACGAUAUUAUUUAUAUAGGCUUAAUUUUACAGUGGGCUAACAAUAAUGUGGUUCAAAUUUGCUUUUCGCAAGAAUAGAACCUAAAACUUCUCACUUAUAAAUGAAGAGGAAUACCACUAAACCGUAGUCCUGAUAGAUUCGUUAUUUUAUUUUAUAUUUUAAGAAAAAAGAAAGAAAGCAAUGAAAAGCUGUACAUAAAAUAAAUACAAAAAGGAAUGAAAUGAAGAAGAGUGGGAGACUAAUGUUUAAUUCAAGAUAAAGAAAGAAAGCUGAUCGCACCACGACGGCGGCGACGUGGCGGUCAUUUAACGGAAAAUAACAGACAAAUCAGCCUCCAGAUCAAAUCUUGAAGCACAACUCUGAAAAAUCGAGACUACCAACAGCUGAGCUCCGACCAACCGUUGAUGGAUGCAAUCAGGAAGCUCAGAGAUCAGGUCGCCAAGCAACAGCAGGUACUCCCUCUCGUUUGAUUCCGAAUUUGUAUUUCUGUAUGGAUUUUGAUAUGAACAUAAUCUGCGUUGAUUGCGAGAUACUGAGAUUGCUUAAUGAAAUAAUAUUUAUAUAAUUGUUCGAGUUGAAUUGGAUCGAUUCGAAUUCAAAUAGAAUGUCACUAUUUCUGAGCUGUUUGGGGAUGUGUUGGAGUGCAAUGUUGAUGAAUUUCUGAAAUUUUGAGCUAGGUGUUGCUAAUUACUUAUCGAUUUUUGAUGUAAUUGGAUGCUUAAUUUUUACAUUUUCGGAAAACUUCAAACGAAAAUGGCAUAUAAUUCAACGUUCUAUGCUUCAUUAAUGCAUAAGAGUUGGUCGAAGCUUGAUCGAGUUUGCUUUUGGUUAUUUUGUGAACACCGUCAGGCUGUGUUCAAACAAUUUUCUGGUGGCAUAUAUGGGGGAUCGGAUAAUGUUGCCUCGGAUGAAAAUGAAUUUCAACAGCAUCAGAAACUCGAGAAGCUGUACAUAUCAACUCGUGCUGCCAAGGUUGCUACGCUUAUUUUUGUCUGUGCUUUAAACGAGCAUCACGUUAGUUGUGUUACCUAUCGUUUUUUUGCUUCAUCUUUAACAGCAUUACCAAAAGGAAAUUGUCCGCGGAGUGGAAGGUUACAUUGUGGCCGGUUCAAAGCACGUUGAAAUAGGUAUGUUGCUUGAAAUGCGUUGUCUUUUCUUUGGAGUUUGGAUAUGAAUUCAUGCUGGUUUUAUCAGUUGGUAUACAUAAUAUUUUUUCAACAGGUACCAAGCUAUCAGAAGAUAGCAGGAAAUAUGGUUCUGAAAAGACUUGCACCAGUGAUAACACAUUGUCGAGAGCUGCACUUAGUUUUGGAUGAGGUGGGGCCCAAAUGGAAAAAGAGUGCGGAGUUCUACUUAAAGCCCUUGGCACACAGGUUUAAGUCAAAUUAUUACUAACAGAGGCUAUUAAGUAAAAAUCAAAUAUUGCCAGGGCCGGCUUCAUACAAAUGGAAUUUCAACUGACUAAUUUUCGUGUGCAUUUGAUCAUUUCGAAAGAAAUUUACAGCAAAAAUUGUUUUCAUUUCCACGUCGUGGUUCAAGAAUUGGACUACUUUUUGUGUUUCUAUGCAUCGUAUGACAAACUGGCUCACCAUUUCUUUCUAUAGGUUUGCAUAAUAACUCUUUGUGUGCUUAUCAAUUUGCCUGUGUAGGUUGCAUAGCCUUUAUAGUGGGAGCGCCCAUGGAGGAUGCUCGACAUCUUGCUCAACGUUAUGCUAGAAUGCGGCAAGAAGCUGAAGCUCAGGUAUAUGCAGUUUCUUCUGUUUCCUACCAAUUUUAUUCUACAGUGAUUUUAUAUCCAAAACAAGCAUUGACUUGGCUGUCCAUCCAUCAAUAGCAGGUCCACAUCUCAACCCAAAUAUAAUGACGUCAAAGGAGAGGGGAAAAUGAGAAGGAAACUCUGGAGGGUAGAGGGAAGGAAAAGGGGAAAAGGAGAAAGGGAGAAGGGAAAAGUAGAACGGGAAGGAGGAAAAUGAGAGGAAAUUUCGGAGAAUAGAGAAAGGGAGAAGGGAAAAGAAGAAAAGCAGAAAAGAAGGGAAAAGGGGAAGGAAGCUUAGGAGGCUAGAGAAAAAGAUGGAAAUGCAUAAAAAUAAAAAAAUAAAAAAGGAAAGUCGCCUUCAUCAUUAUGUCUACUAACGGAAAGGAGCAACCACAUUGUAAAUUAUAUUUUGUAUAAUGAGAAACCAGUAUUCCUACCCUGAGGGUAUAGACACAACUUGCUGAAUCUCGUUACUAUACAGCAAGUUUAUAAUUGCACAAUAAUUCGAUCAAUCAUCUUAAGUUCAACCAUACAUGUAACAAGAUUUAAGUUUUUCCAAACUUUCCUUAUGAAGGUAACUGAACAUUACAAGUGUCACGUUAUUAUGCGAUUCUAUCAAGUUUUAAUUUUUGUCUCAUAACCACAUUACAAGUGCCACGUUAUUUAUUUUAUCCUUUAUUUUAUCUUUAUUAUUAAAACUUAAAAUUUUCAUAUUUUUUUAUUAAUUUUUUUUUAUAAAAUCACACGUAAAACAAGAAGUAAUCUUUUCUUUUUCUUUUCAUCUCUGCCACUAGCGGCCGACCAUGACUUAAAGAAACGCUUUUUGGAUGGGUCAAUGUAUGGGAACGACCCAUUUUAUAUGUUACAUGGUUGUGCAAUUAAAAGUGCAUUUUAUCAUAAAAAUGUGAGCAACGAUCAAUAUAAUUGUUAUUUAUAAAAUCACACAAAACACAAGAAGGAAUCUUUUCUUUUUCUUUUUCAUCUCUGCCACUACCAGCCGACCAUGACUUAAAAGAAACGCUUUUUGGUUCAAUGGAUGGGAACGACCUAUUUUAUAAUAAGAAAAAUUAAUUAAAAAAAUUUAAAAAUUUUAAGUUUUAAUAAUAAAAAGAUGUUGUAAAUAAAUAGUACAUAAUUGAUUUUUUUAGUAAAAGUAUAAUUUUUUAUUAAAAUUUCGUUCAAAUCCCCUUUAUAAUAUUGUUUGUAAAUUUUUCUGGAAGUAGAUGGAAAUGACCCAAUUACAUAUUUCCCCUGCUCACAGACAUUUUCAUUGCACCUAGAAAACCAGUUUUUUGUUAGAAAAUCGAUCCACAUCAAUGGCUCUUGUGAGAACAUCUCCAGGAACCUCCUCUGAUUCCAACACUUUUCGGAGUUAUCGCUACGACGUGUUCUUGAGCUUCAGAGGCGAAGAUACUCGCAAGACUUUUACCGACCACCUCUACACAGCCUUGAACAACGCAGGAUUUCUUACGUUCCGAGACGACGAUGAACUUGAGAGAGGAGAAGAUAUAAAGCCAGGACUGCAGAAAGCGAUCCAGCAGUCACGAACUUCUGUUGUCGUGUUUUCGAAAGAUUACGCUUCAUCCAGUUGGUGUCUUGAUGAGCUUGUGCUGAUCCUUGAACGCAAGAGGACCACCUCGGACCAUGUAGUUUUACCAGUCUUCUACGAUGUCGAUCCGUCCCACGUGAGGAAGCAGACAGGAAGUGUUGGAAAAGCAUUUGCUAGAAGCCAGAAAAAUCAGUCGCCGGAAAAGGUGCAGGGAUGGAGGAAGGCACUUGCAGAGAUUGCAGACCUAGCAGGCAUGGUCUUACAAAAUCAAGCUGAUGGGUAACUUUCAUUAUCUCCAUUUCUCAUCUUUCCUGGGUGAAUUUGAUGUAUGAUCCGUAAUGACCUAGAUUUUUAUAUGUUUAUUAAUUCAAUCUCAGUAGUGAAUAAUAAUCUCAAUUUAGGUCAACUUAAAGAAAUCACACUCAACUCAACUUAAGGAUUAGUCAUUUUCCAUGUUAAUCUACUGGUUUCCAGUUGCUUAAAUUUUUUUGAAAGCUGGUGUGGAAAAAGGUUAGGAUGUGAUCUGUCUAUAGUUCGUGUAAAUUAUGCGCUGUAUUCCUUUUUUUUUUCAAUUUAAUUUUGUCAGCAGUCCUCUUUUUUUUUUCUUAUUUAAAAAGGCAAUCAACAUAUGUUUUAAUUAUCUAAUUUCCCCAAUUCAUUUUUCAUUUUGUUUGCAAAUUCUUAGGUACGAGUCAAAGUUUAUCAAAAAAAUUGUUGAAGUGAUAGGAGACAAGUUAUGUCGUACGUCGUUGAGUGUUGAACCAAAAUUGAUUGGAAUUCAAUCUCAAGCCGAACGCAUCAAUUUGUGGUUACAAGAUGGAUCAAGUCAUGUUGGUAUAUUUGUUGUGUAUGGCAUGUCUGGAAUAGGGAAGACAACCAUUGCAAAACAUGUUUACAAUUCAAACUUUGGAAGCUUUCAAGGAAGUAGUUUCAUUGAAAAUAUCAAAGAAACAGCAGAUCGACCAAAUGGCUUAGUUCAAAUACAAAUGCAACUUCUUUGUGAUAUUUUGAACGGCAGAGAAGUGAAAAUACACAGUGUUAGUGAGGGAAUAAUUAAGAUUGAAAGGGCCAUAAGCACUAGAAGAGUUCUACUUGUUCUUGAUGAUGUUGACCAAAUGGACUAAUUCGAUGCAAUCCUAAGGAUGAAGGAUCAGUUUUAUCCUGGAAGUAAGAUACUAAUAACAACUAGGCGUGAAAGGCUGCUAAAGGCAGAUCAAGUUACAGAGGUGCACAGAGUUCAAACUUUGGAUUACAAUGAAUCAUUAAAGCUUUUCAGUUGGCAUGCUUUUGGCCAGGACCAUCCCAUAGAAGAAUACAUGGAGCACUCAAAACAGCUAGUGCAACAUAGCGACGGACUUCCAUUAGCUCUAAAAGUUUUGGGUUCUUCUUUAUCAGGGGAAAGUAUAGGUGUAUGGGAAAGUGCAUUGGAGAAGCUAAAAGUUAUUCCUGAUGGUGAAAUCAUAAACAAACUAAGAAUAAGCUAUGAAAGUUUAAAAGAUGACCAUGACCGGAAAUUAUUCCUCCACAUUGCUUGUUUCCUAAUAGGAAGGAACAAAACCUACAUUGUUAGAAUAUUCGAUGGAUGUGAUUUCUAUACAAUCAUUGGCAUUCAAAAUCUCAUUGAUAGAUGCUUGGUGACAUUUGAUGAACACGGCAAGGUGAAAAUGCAUGACAUGAUUCGUGCUAUGGGAAGAGAAAUUGUUCGCCAAGAAUCAGAAGAGCUUGAGGAACGUAGUAGAUUAUGGCGCCAUAAGGAUUCUUUCCAAGUAUUGAGGAAAAAGAAUGUAAGAAACAUGCCUUUUAUGUCUAUAUAUGUCUUUCUUCUUGUGAAAAUUAUGCAUAUUAAUGUCUUUUUUUUUUCCUUUAGGGUACAAAAAAAAUCCAAGGUCUUGUCCUGGAUAUGCGUAAUCAUUCUGCAAACAGUCCAAUAAACACAAAUGAGAUAGUCUUGGAAACCAAUGCAUUUGCAAGGAUGUGCAAUUUACAACUACUCCAUCUUAGUCAUGUACGACUGGAUGGAUGUUAUGCAGAUUUCCCUACAGGAUUAAGAUGGUUGUGUUGGCUUGAAUUUCCUUUGGAUUCUAUACCAAUUGAUUUUCCUUUGGAGAACGUAAUUGUUCUGGAAAUGCAAUACAGUAGCUUGAGACAAGUAUGCAAAGGAACAAAAGUAUGUUACUCUAUGCAUUUCAAUUCAUUUUCCUUAUUUUGUUAGUUUUUUAUUUGUUGACUAACUUCGUGUGUUAAAAUGAACUACUAUGUUUUCUUUAAUUCAAUGACUAAUUUCUUAUAUUAGAUACUUAUUUCAUUGUUAUUUUUUCUUCUUUUUUUUCCCUCUGUUUCCACAGUUUCUUCCAUCGUUGAAGAUCCUUGACGUCAGCCAUUCUCAUGGCCUUAGUGAAACCAUUGACUUCUCACUUUUCCCCAAUCUAGAGGAACUGAUUCUUGUAGAUUGCACAAGCCUGAAGAAUGUUCAUGAAUCCAUUGGAAGCUUGGAGAGACUCGUGUACUUGAAUAUAAAGGAUUGCAAGAAUCUUAGGAAGCUUCCGAAGAACAUGUGCAUGCUUAAGGCCCCGUUUGGGAUUGAGGUGAUUUUAAAAAAAGCCACUGUCAAAAAAAGCUGAGGAUCAUUUUUGUGUUUGGUAAACUGAAAAAAAAGGGCUUAUUUUGGAAGCUGCUGUGAGAAUAAGCUGAAAAUCAAAGAAAAAGCUGAAGCUGCUAUUUGCUGCUUUGAAAAAAAGCCAGUUUUUUCAAAGCACACGGAGCUACAGUGCUCCUUUAAUGAAAAGACACACUAUCAUCCUGCUUUUUUUUCCAAAAGCACUUUCACAAAAAAGUUUACCAAACACUCUACUGGCUUUAUUUCACAGCCGCUUAUUCUCACAGCACAGCUGCUUAUUCUUACAGCAGCUUUUUUUCAAAGCACAGCAAUACCAAACCAGCCCUAAAUCACUUGAACACUCAUUUUAUCUGGUUGCUCAAAUCUUGAUGAGUUUCCAAUGGAGAUGAUGAAGAUGGAGUCUCUGAAAGUUCUUGAGACAGAUGGACUUCCAAUAGGUAAAUUGUGGCCAGAAAGAAGUUCAACUAUCUUGAGUUCUUUUCCAUGCUCUUUAGUAGAGUUAAGUCUGAAGGGGUGCAAUCUUUCUGAUGAUGUCCUUCCUACGGAUUUAAGUAAUCUAUCCAAUUUGCAGUCUGCCAGUUUUCAUCAAAGGUUUGAGGAAGAUCGAUGAACUCUCUUUCAAGGGUUGUGAUAGGCUCGAAUCGCUUGUGGGGUUGCCGGAAGUACACCAAUGGCUAAGUAUAGCCGGAUGCAUAUCAUUAAAAAAAAUAACUUUUCAUUCCCCUGAGCAACCGUAUCUAGUACGUGGGGGUGACAACUCGAAUAACUGUAAUUGCUGUUACAAGUUACAGCCUUUUGAUAGAGUUGAUGUGAAAAUGAUCAAACUUAUGGGCUUGUGCAACUUUGAAUCCAUGCCAGCUGUUCAAAUGCGUAAUUCAUACACAUACAGGGAUCCAAAAGAGGUCCCCGUCCAGGUGCGCCUCUCUUUCUCUCUCUCAUAAGUCUUAAAUAUAUAAUGGGAAAGAAAUUACUGAGUAAUGUUGUGAUGACUGUGGCAAAUACAUAGGGACUGUAUCAAUUUGGUGUAUUCAGCACUUUUUUUGUUGGGAAUGAGGUUCCAGGCCGGUUCAGCUAUAAAAGUACGAAGUAUUCGAUAUCUUUUAUUGUCCCUUUACUACUUGCUAGUCACAGAAUUCGAGGCUUGAACAUCUUUGCUACCUAUGCAAAGGAAAAUUCAAAUAAUUAUUCUACUGGACCUAUUAUUGUUCCAAUAAUGAUCAAAGUGAGAAACAAGAGCAAGGGUUUGAAGUGGAUCUAUUGCCCAUUAUCCUAUGGAAUCCCAGGUGACGGAGAAGAUAUGAUAUGGUUGAGCCAUUGGAAGAUGGAGAAUAAUACAAUAUUACAAUGUGGAGAUGAAGUGGUGGUUUCGGUAAUAACCGGACCACGUGACUUGUUUUUGGUAAAGGAGUUUGGUGUCGAGCUUGUGCAAGAGCACCAAGACAAGAUGAGUACCCAACACAACACCAAAUCAGAUCCUAAUUAUCCAUUUGUUAUCGGUGGAGAUUUGAAGACGUGGAAGUGCAAACCAGGAAUAUACUUCCUUAGCUGUAGGAGACGAGAAGAUACUGACGACAUUGAUAUCCUCACCAUGGACUCUGAUGAAGAAGACACAAGUAUGUUGUGUUGUUGUAUAGCAUUGAAUUAUACUCCAUCCAAACACUUCCGGGUGUGUCCGUAUUCAUUUCAAAAACAUUUCCAAUAAAUUUUAUGUUAUUUGUAUGUUUUUCAGACAAAGAAGGGCAAGAGGAUGAACCUGAUUACACAAUUGCAAAGACGAUGGCAGCUAGCAAUAACUGCAGCCUAAGAGGAUGGAAGGUGCGCCUCACAGCUGUCGGCUUCUUUUUCGCGCUUGCUCUAGUUGGUUGGUCCUCCAUCUCGCAAAAAAAGAAGCGACACUCGUCCACAAGCCCACCAUGAGUUUGUAAUUUGACUUGAUAUAGAUAUAUCUUUGCAUUCCUUGCUCUCAAGAUGUUUUCUACCUUCGAAACUUCAAGUUUAGAGCUAAGCACUUUAACCGCUUGAGAUAUAAAAGCCCCUUGCAACUAGAUACCGAAGUUCAAAUGUGUUCAACGCCAUCAAAUAUAGCAUAAAAUACAUCCAGCAUUAGCGAUACUAGCAUAGUAGCAGUAAAUAAGUAAAACCAAAAAAUGCUUCCACACAUGGUAAGGGAAGGACUUUACAUAGGAAUCUUUAGCAAUAACGGGCAAGAUUUUUUUGUUUUUGGGAGGAGGUGGAUUAUUUCGGCACCGGGGAAAACAAAAACAUCCCAUCUUAGUUGUCGUUUACAACAAAAUCAUUCUUAAAGACUCGGCUCCCCAUUGAAAUUGUGUAAAUUGCAUAAAUAUCAAUACAACAGAUAUUAAAUAGAAUAAUAUAUAUCAAAUAAAUUAACGACAAGCAAUUUCUUAGCCUGAGAUCCAAGGACUUUACAGCUGGUUCAGCCUUGCAUUCGCUACUACAUUACAGAAGCUGGUUUCUGCUUCUUCAACCUGAACAAAUUAUUGAGGUCAGGAAGUAUAAGAGGAACGACCAUAGUCUCUGGAGCCAUGAAAUUUACUAUCUUCUUUUGGGCAUUGUACCUGCAAAAGCAUAAUGCAAUAAGCAUUCAACAAUCUGACCUAGUUUUCUCAACAGAUACUCCAAGAUAUUCCAAAACAAAGUCACAGCAAUUUCACAUAGGGAACCGAAGAAUCAUGUUCGUCCACUCUACACAUCCAAAGCAGCAAACUAACAAUUUCACAUAGGAUACCAGGUUGGGAGGAUACAAUCAUUAACAAUUUCAAAAGCUUUAAAUGCAAUCUGAAUACAUGGCAAGUAGGGGUAAACAUGUGAACAGAAAAAAUCAGUGAACAUAAUCAAAUCCAAUACGUCAAUUUUGGCCUAGAUUGAAAUGAAAAAAAAACAAGGAAAUGCUUUGUUGUUUUUGAAGGAAAUAAAACCUAUUUCAUGGAAAUAAAACCUGUGGUUACCUUUGUCUUCCUUUGCCAUUUGUCUAUCGAUUUGUUUCUGAAAGUGGCUAUUCUACAAGAUACAGCAUGACAGGUCCUAGUUAGACCAAGCAACCGGCAUGGAAAUGCUUUCUGAAGCAAGAAUCUGAACUCAAGAGCUUUGUGCCAGAGAGACUUCAGAAAAAUGAAAAAAAACAACAUAGAAUAUGGGUAAGAAUAAACAUCGAUCAAACAAUAAUUCACUGUAUAAAACAUUUUUUCAACUUUAAAGUGUGGCUUAAAAAGAAGCUUUAAACAAGUAGCAAUAAUUUCAUAUUGAAAAAUAAAACCUGGAUAUUACAAGAGCCAUUAUUUUGAAAGACACACCUUUUGGUUCUUCACUACUUGACUUUUAAGAAGAUCUUCGUCCUUGUCACGAUUCAGAUUCUUUAAAAUAUCUCUGCGAUGGAAUAAACAAAACCAAUCUAGGCCAAAAUUGACUUAUUCGAUUUGAUUAUGUUCACUGAUUUUUCUAUUCACAUGUUUACCCCUUACUUGCCAUAUGGUUUUGGGGUGUUAGUGCAUAGUGCUCUUCUCUUUACACACCUGUUUCAUUUGUAUUCGUUGUAAAUUAAGAGACCGUUUGAUAAUCAUUUCGUUUUCAAUUUAAAAAAUAUAAAAAACUAAAUAAAGUUUUCUAAAUUUGACCUAGAAUUUUUCGCUUUUGGUUUUUAAUUUUUUUUUUUAACAACUGAAAACUAAAAAUAGUUACAAAUUUUUUUUUCAGUUUUUAAUUUACAAAAAAGUAAAAACUGAAAACUCUAAACUAUAGACUAAAAAUUAAAAAGUGAAAUCGAAAUGGGCUCUCAACAAAAUUGAAAAAAGACUGGGCUGAAUUACUGAAUUCAAAGCAGGGCUUAUUAACGCUACGAGGCCCAAUGGAUCUGUAUAAAUAUUUUUUGUUUUUUUUUAACAAACGAUAUUAUCUAUAUGGGCUUAACCUUACAAUAGGCUAACAAUAAUGUGGUUCAAAUUUAUUUUUGACGAGAAUCGAACCUAAAACUUCUCGCUUACAAAUGAAGAGGAAUACCACUAAAUCAUAGUCCUGAUAUUUUAUUUAAUAUUUUAAGAAAAAAGAAAGAAAGCAAUGAAAAGCUGUACAUAAACUAAAUACAAAAAGGAAUGAAAUGAAGAAGAGUGGGAGACUAACGUUUAAUUCAAGAUAAAGAAAGAAAGGUAAUCGCACCCCGACGGCGGCGACGUGGCGGUCAUUUAACGGAAAAUAACAGACAAAUCAGCCUCCAGAUCAAGUCUUGAAGCACAACUCUGAAAAAUCGACACUACCUACAGCUGAGCUCCGACCAACCGUUGAUGGAUGCAAUCCGGAAGCUCAGAGAUCAAGUCGCCAAGCAACAGCAGGUACUCUCUCUCUUGUUUGAUUCCGAAUUUGUAUUUCUGUAUGGAUUAUGAUAUGAACAUAAUCUGCGUUGAUUGCGAGAUACUAAGAUUGCUUAAUGAAAUAAUAUUUAUAUAAUUGUUCAAAUUGAAUUGGAUCGAAUUCGAAUAGAUUUUUCACUAUUUCUGAGCUGUUUGGGGCUGUGUUGGAGUGUAUUGUUGCUGAAUUUCUGAAAUUUUGAAUCUAGCAAACACCAGUUCUUUUUGUUUGAACAUCGAUCCACAUCAAUGGCUCUUGUGAGAACAUCUCCAGGAACCUCCUCUGAUUCCAACACUUUUCGGAGUUAUCGCUACGACGUGUUCUUGAGCUUCAGAGGCGAAGAUACUCGCAAGACUUUUACCGACCACCUCUACACAGCCUUGAACAACGCAGGAUUUCUUACGUUCCGAGACGACGAUGAACUUGAGAGAGGGGAAGAUAUAAAGCCAGGACUGCAGAAAGCGAUCCAGCAGUCACGAACUUCUGUUGUCGUGUUUUCGAAAGAUUACGCUUCAUCCAAGUGGUGUCUUGAUGAGCUUGUGCUGAUCCUUGAACGCAAGAGGACCACCUCGGACCAUGUAGUUUUACCAGUCUUCUACGAUGUCGAUCCGUCCCACGUGAGGAAGCAGACAGGAAGUGUUGGAAAAGCAUUUGCUAGAAGCCAGAAAAAUCAGUCGCCGGAAAAGGUGGAGGGAUGGAGGAAGGCACUUGCAGAGAUUGCAGACCUAGCAGGCAUGGUCUUACAAAAUCAAGCUGAUGGGUAACCUUCAUUAUCUCCAUUUCUCUUCUCUUUGUUGGGUCAAUUUGAUGUAUGAUCCGUAGUGACAUAGAUUUUUAUAUAUUUAUUAAUUCAAUCUCAGUAGUGAAUAAUAAUCCCAAUUCAGGUCAACUUAAAGAAAGCACACUCAACUCAACUUAAGGAUUAGUCAUUUUCCAUGUUAAUCUACUGGUUUCCAGUUGCUUAAAUUUUUUUUGAAAGCUGGUGUGGAAAAAAGUUAGGAUGUGAUCUGUUUUGUAUUUGUCUAUAGUUUGUAUAGAUUAUGCGCUGUAUUCCUUUUUUUUUCAAUUUAAUUUUGUCAGGCAAUCAACAUAUGUUUUAAUUAUCUAAUUUCCCCAAUUCAUUUUUCAUUUUGUUUGCAAAUUCUUAGGUACGAGGCAAAGUUUAUCGAAAAAAUUGUUAAAGUGAUAGAAGACAAGUUAAGUCGUAUGCCAUUGAGUGUUGAACCAAAAUUGAUUGGUAUUCAAUAUCAAGCCGAACGCAUCAAUUUGUGGUUACAAGAUGGAUCAAGUGGUGUUGGUAUAUUUGUUGUGUAUGGCAUGUCUGGAAUCGGGAAGACAACCAUUGCAAAACAUGUUUACAAUUCAAACUUUAGAAGCUUUCAAGGAAGUAGUUUCAUUGAAAAUAUCAAAGAAACAGCAGAUCGACCAAAUGGCUUAGUUCAAAUACAAAUGCAACUUCUUUGUGAUAUUUUGAACGGCAGAGAAGUGAAAAUACACAGUGUUAGUGAGGGAAUAAUUAAGAUUGAAAGGGCCAUAAGCUCUAGAAGAGUUCUACUUGUUCUUGAUGAUGUUGACCAUAUGGACCAAUUAGAUGCAAUCCUAAGGAUGAAAGAUCAGUUUUAUCCGGGAAGUAAGAUACUAAUAACAACUAGGCGUGAAAGGUUGCUAAAGGCAGAUCAAGUUACAGAGGUGCACAGAGUUCGGACUUUGUAUUACAAUGAAUCAUUAAAGCUUUUCAGUUGGCAUGCUUUUGGCCAGGACCAUCCCAUAGAAGAAUACAUGGAGCACUCAAAACAGCUUGUGCAACAUAGCGACGGACUUCCAUUAGCUCUAAAAGUUUUGGGUUCUUCUUUAUCAGGGGAAAGUAUAGGUGUAUGGGAAAGUGCAUUGGAGAAGCUAAAAGUUAUUCCUGAUGGUGAAAUCAUGAAUAAACUAAGAAUAAGCUAUGAAAGUUUAAAAGAUGACCAUGAUCGGAAAUUAUUCCUCCACAUUGCUUGUUUCCUAAUAGGAAGGAACAAAAGCUACAUUGUUAGAAUACUCGAUGGAUGUGAUUUCUAUACAAUCAUUGGCAUUCAAACUCUCAUUGAUAGAUGCUUGGUGACACUUGAUGAACACGGCAAGGUGAAAAUGCAUGACAUGAUUCGUGCUAUGGGAAGAGAAAUUGUUCGCCAAGAAUCAGAAGAGCUUGAGGAACGGAGUAGAUUAUGGCGCCAUAAGGAUUCUUUCCAAGUAUUGAGGAAAAAGAAUGUAAGAAACAUGCCUUUUAUGUCUAUAUAUGUAUUCCUUCUUGUGAAAAUUAUGCAUAUUAAUGUCUUUUUUUUUCCUUUAGGGUACAAAAAAAAUCCAAGGUCUUGUCCUGGAUAUGCGUAAUCAUCCUGCAAACAGUCCAAUAAACACAAAUGAGAUAGUCUUGGAAACCAAUGCAUUUGCAAGGAUGUGUAAUUUACAACUACUCCAUCUUAGUCAUGUACGACUGGAUGGAUGUUAUGCAGAUUUCCCUACAGGAUUAAGAUGGGUGUGUUGGCUUGAAUAUCCUUUGGAUUCUAUACCAAUUGAUUUUCCUUUGGAGAACGUAAUUGUUCUUGAAAUGCAAUACAGUAGCUUGAGACAAGUAUGCAAAGGAACAAAAGUAUGUUACUCUAUGCAUUUCAAUUCAUUUUCCUUAUUGUGUUAGUUUCUUAUUUGUUGACUAACUCCAUGUGUUAAAAUGAACUACUAUGUUUUCUUUAAUUCGAUGACUAAUUUCUUAUGUUAGAUACUUAUUUCAUUGUUCUUUUUUCUUUUCUUUUUUUCCCUCUGUUUCCACAGUUUCUUCCAUCGUUGAAGAUCCUUGACGUCAGCCAUUCUCAUGGCCUUAGUGAAACCAUUGACUUCUCACUUUUCCCCAAUCUAGAGGAACUGAUUCUUGUAGAUUGCACAAGCCUGAAGAAUGUUCAUGAAUCCAUUGGAAACCUAGAGCGACUCGUGUACUUGAAUAUGAAGGAUUGCAAGAAUCUUAGGAAGCUUCCGAAGAACAUGUGCAUGCUUAAAUCACUUGAAACGCUCAUUUUAUCUGGUUGCUCAAAUCUUGAUGAGUUUCCCUUGGAGAUGAUGAAGAAGAUGGAGUCUCUGAAAGUUCUUGAGACAGAUGGAAUUCCAAUAAGUGAAUUGUGGCCAGAAAGAAGUUCAACUAUCUUGAGUUCUUUUCCACGCUCUUUAGUAGAGUUAAGUCUGAAGGGAUGCAAUCUUUCUGAUGAUGUCUUUCCUACGGAUUUAAGUAAUUUAUCCUACUUGCGAGGACUACAUUUAGAUGAGAAUCCAAUUUGCAGUCUGCCAGUUUUCAUCAAAGGUUUGAGGAGGAUCGAUAAACUCUCUUUCAAGGGUUGUGAUAGGCUUGAAUCGCUUGUGGGGUUGCCGGAAGUACACCAAAUAAUGAGUAUAGUCAGAUGCAUAUCAUUAAAAAAAUAACUUUUCAUUCCCCUGGGCAACAUCAUCUAUCACGUGUAAUUUACAAUGACAACCGGAAUCUUGUUGAGGCGGAGUGUUUUUACAAGUUAGAGCCUAUUGAUAGAGUUGAUGUGGAAAUGAUCAAACUUUUGGGCUUGUGCAACUUGGAAUCCAUGCCAGCUGUUCGAAUGCAUCAUCCACUCACAAACUGGGAUCUAAUAGACGUCCCCGUCCAGGUGCGCCUCUUUUUCUCUCUCUCUCAUAAGUCUUAAAUAUAUAAUGGGAAAGAAAUGACUGAGUAAUGUUGUGAUGACUGUGGCAAAUACAUAGGGACUGUAUCAACAUGGUAUAUUCAGCACCUUUUUUGUUAGGAAUGAGGUUCCAGGCCUGUUCAGCUAUAAAAGUACCAAGUCCUCGAUAUCUUUUAUUGUCCCUUUACUACUUGCUAGUCACAGAAUUCGAGGCUUAAACAUCUUUGCUACCUAUGCAAAGGAAAAUUCAAAUAAUUAUUCUACUGGACCUAUUAUUGCUCCAAUAAUGAUCAAAGUGAGAAACAAGAGUAAGGGUCUGAAGUUGAUCUAUGACCCUGAGUUCUACGGAAUUCCAGGUGACGGAGAAAAUAUGAUAUGGUUGAGCCAUUGGAUGAUGGAGAAUAAAACAAUAUUACAAUGUGGAGAUGAAGUGGUGGUUUCGGUAAUAACCGGACCACGUGACAUGUUUUGGGUAAAGGAGUUUGGUGUCGACCUUGUGCAAGAGCACCAAGACAAGAUGAGUACCCAACACAACACCAAAUCCGAUCCUAAUUAUCCAUUUGUUAUCGGUGGAGAUUUGAAGAUGUUUGAGCGCAGACCGGGAAUAUACUUCCUUGGCAAUUAUGCAAGAAAAGAUAUUGAUGACAUUGAUAUCCUCACCAUGGCCUCUGAUGAAGAAGACACAAGUAUGUUGUGUUGUUGUAUAGCAUUGAAUUAUACUCCAUCCAAACACUUCCAUGUGUGGUCCGUAUUCAUUUCAAAAAUGUUUCCAAUAAAUGUUAUGUUAUUUGUAUGUUUUUCAGACAAAGAAAGACAAGAGGAUGAACCUGAUUACACAAUUGCAAAGACGAGGGCUGCUAGCAAUAACUGCAGCUUGAGAGGCUGGAAGGUGCGCCUCACAGCUGUCGGCUUCUUUUUUUCGCUUGCUCUAGUAGGUUGGUCCUCCAUCUCCCAAAAAAAGAAGCGACACUCGUCCACAAGCCCACCAUGAGUUUGUAAUUUGACUUGAUAUAGAUAUAUCUUUGCAUUCCUCUCAGGAUGUUUUCUAUCUUCAAAACUUCAAGUUCGCUAAGCACGCUUAACCGCUUGAGAUAUAAAAGCCCCUUGCAACUAGAUACCAAAGUUAAAAUGUGUUCAAAACAUCAAAUAUAGCAUAAAAUACAUCCAGCAUUAGUUAUACUAGCAGAGUAGCAAUAAAUAAGUAAAACAAAAAAAUGCUUCCACACACGGUAAGGGAUGGACUUUGACAUAGGUAUCUUUAGAGCAAUUCCACCCCUAAGGACUUUGCGUCCGCACCUAGCGCAUUUAUCCACUCAAAUGAACAGUAACAGACUCUAAUGAACAGUAAUAGGCCAAGCAUCUCCACCCCUAAAAAAAUGCGCUGGCACCUAGUAAAAAAAUGCGUUGGCACAAACGAUCUUCAUCCCUACAAAAUGCGCUGGCACCCAGCCCAUUUAAAAUAUUUUUAAAUGUUGUCUAAAAGAAUAAAAAAAUAAAAUAGUUUUAAUUUCGGAUAGGAUUUUUAACUAAUCUCGUCACACCACAUGUCAUUAUCUGAACGUACUAUUUUGUGAAUAGAUUUCCGCUAAGAUUUUCUGUAUUUUUUAAUAAUUUUUAAUGAAUUUUAAUAUAGUUAAUUAAUCUGGACCGUUAGAUUUGAAAAAAUAUUCAAAUCCAAGAGACAGGGAGUUGCCACGUGGCCAACAGUCAUAUUUCUGACCGUUGGGCCUUUUUUUUUUUUUUUUACUUUUUUGUAAAAAAAACGUGGACCGUUGAUCUUUGAUCCGACAGUCUAUUUUAAAAGUAAAAUUUAAAUUUUUUUACCGUUGGAAAUCCAACGGUCUAGAAAAGGGAGCCACGUCGCCAACUCGAGGGGGGGGGGGAAACUGAGUGCGCCACGCGGGCCCGCCUUCUGAAAUCUUGUCGGGCACUCGCGCCAGCACCUCCAUGAAGCGCACGCGCAAGGCAAACUGCCCAGCUUCUUGCUCAGUCUCGUUUGGGCUGGGUACCAGUCAAGUUGAAGGGGUGGACUUGGUUGACAGGGUGCUGGCCUUGUUUUUGUGCUGGAUCCUGGGCAAAUUCCACUGGGGUGGAAUUGCUCUUAGCAAUAACGGGCAAGAUUUUUUUUAGGGAGGGGGAAGGGAUUAUUUUGGCAUCGGGGAAAACAAAAACAUCCUAUCUGCUUAUGAAUGACAAAUUUACAAAUCUUAAUUGUCGUUUACAACAAAAUCAUUCUUAAAGACUCGGCUCCCCAUUGAAAUUGUGUAAAUUGCAUAUAUAACAAUACAACAGAUAUUAGAUAGAAUAAUAUAUAUCAAAUAAUUUAACGAUAGGACUUUACAGUUGGUUCAGCCUUGCAUUGCUACUACGCUACAGAAGCUGGUUUCUGCUUCUUCCACCUGAACAAAUUAUUGAGGUCAGGAAGUAUAGGAGGAACGGCCAUAGUCUCUGGAGCCAAGAAAUUUACUAUCUUCUCAUGAACAUUGUACCUGCAAAAGCAUAAUGCAAUAAGCAUUCAACAAUCUGACCUAGUUUGCUCAACAGAUGCUCUAAGAUAUUCCAAAACAAAGUCACAACAAUUUCACAUAGGGAACCGAAGAAUCAUGUUCAUCCACUCAACACAUCCAAAGCAGCAAACUAACUAGGAUACCAGGUUGGGAGGAUACAAUCAUUAACAAUUUCAAAAGCUUUAAACGCAAUCUGAAUAUAUGGCAAGUAGGGGUAAACAUGUGAACAGAAAAGUCAAAGAACAUAAUCAAAUCGAAUAAGUCAAUUUUGGCCUAGAUUGAAAUGAAAAAAAAAACAAGGAAAUGCUUUGUGUAUCGAUUUGUUUAUGAAGGAAAUAAAUGCUUUGUGUAUCCAUUCGUCUAUCAAUUUGUUUCUGAAAGUGGCUAUUCUACAAGAUACAGCAUGACAGGUCUUAGUUGGACCAAGUAACCGGCAUGGAAAUGCUUUCUGAAGCAAGAAUCUGAACUCAAGAGUUUUGUGCCAGAGAGACUUCAGAAAAAUGAAAAAAACAACAUAGAAUAUGGGUAAGAAUAAACAUCGAUUAGACAAUAAUUCACUGUAUAAAUAAUUUUUUCAACUUUAAAGUGUGGCUUAAAAAGAAGCUUUAAACAAGUAGCAAUAAUUUCAUAUUGAAAAAUAAAACCUAUUUCAUGGAUAUUACAAGAGCCAUUAUUUUGAAAAACACACCUUUUGGUUCUUCACUGCUUGACUUUUAAGAAGUUCUUUGUUCUUGUGACAAUUCAGAUUCUUUAAAAUAUCUCUGCAACGGAAUAAACAAAACCAAUCUAGGCAAAAAUUGACUUGUUCGAUUUGAUUAUGUUCACUGAUUUUUCUGUUCACAUGUUUACCCCUACUUGCCAUAUAGUUUUAGUUUUGGGGUGUUAGCGCAUAGUGCUCUUCUCUUUACACACCAGUUUCAAUUUUAUUCUUCGUAAAUUAAGAGACCGUUUGAUAAUCAUUUCGUUUUCAAUUUUAAAAAAUAUAAAAAACUAAAUAAAGUUUUCAAAAUUUGACCUAGAAUUUUCGCUUUUGGUUUUCAAUUUUAAUUUUUUUUUAAACAACUGAAAACUAAAAAUAGUUACAAAAAGAAUUUUUCAGUUUUUAAUUUACAAAAAAGUAAAAACUGAAAACUCUAUACUAUAGACUAAAAAUUAAAAAGUGAAAUCGAAAUGGGCUCUCAACAAAAUUGAAAAAAGACUGGGCUGAAUUACUGAAUUCAAAGCAGGGCUUAUUAACGUUACGAGGCCCAAUGGAUAUGUAUAAAUAUUUUUCGUUUUUUGUUUAACAAACGAUAUUAUUUAUAUGGGCUUAAUGUUACAGUGAGCUAACAAUAAUGUGGUUCAAAUUUGCUUUUCGUAAGAAUCGAAUCUAAAACUUCUCACUUAGAGAAAUACCUCUAAACCGUAAUCUGAGUGGCUCGUUAUUUUAUUUUAUAUUUUAAGAAAAAAGAAAGAAAGCAAUGAAAAGCUGUACAUAAAAUAAAUACAAAAAGCUAAGAAAUGAAGAAGAGUGGGAGACUAACGUUUAAUUCAAGAUAAAGAAAGAAAGGUAAUCGCAAGACGACGGCGGCGACGUGGCGGUCAUUAAACGGAAAAUAACAGACAAAUCAGCCUCCAGAUCAAGUCUUGAAGCACAACUCUGAAAAAUCGAGACUACCUACAGCUGAGCUCCGACCAACCGUUGAUGGAUGCAAUCCGGAAGCUCAGAGAUCAGGUCGCCAAGCAACAGCAGGUACUCCCUCUCGUUUGAUUCCGAAUUUGUAUUUCUGUAUGGAUUUUGAUAUGAACAUAAUCUGCGUUGAUUGCGAGAUACUGAGAUUGCUUAAUGAAAUAAUAUUUAUAUAAUUGUUCGAGUUGAAUUGGAUCGAUUCGAAUUCAAAUAGAAUUUCACUAUUUCUGAGCUGUUUGGGGAUGUGUUGGAGUGCAAUGUUGAUGAAUUUCUGAAAUUUUGAGCUAGGUGUUGCUAAUUACUUAUCAAUUUUUGAUGUAAUUGGAUGCUUAAUUUUUACAUUUUCGGAAAACUUCAAGCGAAAAUGGCAUAUAAUUCAACGUUCCAUGCUUCAUUAAUGCAUAUGAGUUAGUCGAAGCUUCAUCGAGUUUGCUUUUGAUUAUUUUGUGAACACCGUCAGGCCGUGUUCAAACAAUUUUCUGGUGGCAUAUAUGGGGGAUCGGAUAAUGUUGCCUCGGAUGAAAAUGAAUUUCAACAGCAUCAGAAACUCGAGAAGCUGUACAUAUCAACUCGUGCUGCCAAGGUUGCUACGCUUAUUUUUGUCUGUGCUUUAAACGAGCAUCACGUUAGUUGUGUUACCUAUCGUUUUUUGCUUCUUCUUUAACAGCAUUACCAAAAGGAAAUUGUCCGCGGAGUGGAAGGUUACAUUGUGGCCGGUUCAAAGCACGUUGAAAUAGGUAUGUUGCUUGAAAUGCGUUGUCUUUUCUUGGGAGUUUGGAUAUGAAUUCGUGUUGGUUUUAUCAGCUGGUAUACAUAAUACUUUUUCAACAGGUACGAAGCUAUCAGAAGAUAGCAGGAAAUAUGGUUCUGAAAAGACUUGCACCAGUGGUAACACAUUGUCGAGAGCUGCACUGAGUUUUGGAAGAGCUCGGGCCCAAAUGGAAAAAGAGUGCGGAGUUCUACUUAAAGCCCUUGGCACACAGGUUUAAGUCAAAUUAUUACUAACAAUGGCUCAUUAAGUAAAAAUCAAAUAUUGCCAGGGCCAGUUUCAUACAAAUGGAAUUUCAACUGACUAAUUUUCGUGUGCAUUUGAUCAUUUCGAAAGAAAUUUACAGCAAAAAUUGUUUUCAUUUCCACGUCGUGGUUCAAGAAUUGGACUACUUUUUGUGUUUCUAUGCAUCGUAUGACAAACUGGCUCACCAUUUCUUUCUAUAGGUUUGCAUAAUAACUCUUUGUGUGCUUAUCAAUUUGCCUGUGUAGGUUGCAUAGCCUUUAUAGUGGGAGCGCCCAUGGAGGAUGCUCGACAUCUUGCUCAACGUUAUGCUAGAAUGCGGCAAGAAGCUGAAGCUCAGGUAUAUGCAGUUUCUUCUGUUUCCUACCAAUUUUAUUCUACAGUGAUUUUAUAUCCAAAACAAGCAUUGACUUGGCUGUCCAUCCAUCAAUAGCAGGUCCACAUCUCAACCCAAAUAUAAUGACGUCAAAGGAGAGGGGAAAAUGAGAAGGAAACUCUGGAGGGUAGAGGGAAGGAAAAGGAGAAAAGGAGAAAGGGAGAAGGGAAAAGUAGAACGGGAAGGAGGAAAAUGAGAGGAAAUUUCGGAGAAUAGAGAAAAGGAGAAGGGAAAAGAAGAAAAGCAGAAAAGAAGGGAAAAGGGGAAGGAAGCUUAGGAGGCUAGAGAAAAAGAGGGAAAUGCAUAAAAAUAAAAAAAUAAAAAAGGAAAGUCGCCUUCAUCAUUAUGUCUACUAACGGAAAGGAGCAACCACAUUGUAAAUUAUACUAAAAAUAUGACUUUAACCCCUCAAACUCAAUUUCUUUCAUAUAAAACCCGACAUAACAUUUUUACUCGAAUAAAACCCAAUGACUAGACUUCACAUAAGCAAAUUCAUUAAUUAUGACAUUUUAAAAAUUUCUAAUGCCUAAAAUACCCCUGUUUGCAUGUUUAAUGUGCACAAUUAAACAUAUGCAGAUUUUAAGGAGGAUUAAUGAUUUUACAAAAAUAAAAUAAUAAAAAAGGCACAAAUAUUCUAAAUGCAUUGCAUGUUAUAUGAAUUUGGUUGAUUCAUGUUUCUCUCACUUCAUAAAAUUUGCUUCUAAUUUGAUAUAGGAAUUAAUUUGGAAAGUUUUCUUAAUCUUAAUAACAAUUUUCAAUUUAAAUAUAUUUUUUAAUGAAAUAGUCUAUCUUUUAAAAUAAUUAUCAAUAAAAUAAUGAAAUAGUCUAUCUUUUCAAUUUAAAUAAUGUACCUGUUAUUUAAUUUUUACAACACUAAUGUAUCUUAAAAAAUAAUUUACUUAUUGUUUAGUUUUAGCAAAAAUAAUUUACCUACUGUGUAUAAUUGGUGAAGCUAAUGAUGUACAUAUUGUUUAAUUUUUUAAAAAUUAAUGUAUGUACAAAAAUAAUUUAUCUAUUGUUCAAAUUUUAGGAUAAAAAUUUACAUGUUUUUAUUUAACAAUAAUGUAUCUACAAUUUAUUUUUGUAUGAAUAUAAUUUACCUACUUUUUAAUUUUAUAUGAAACUAAUUUACCUACUGUGUCAGUAAUGUAUCUACAAUUUUACAUACAAUAUUUACCUUCUUUUUUUUUUUCACAACAAUAGUGUAUCUACAAUUUUGUUUUUGUAUGAAUAUAGUUUACCUACAAUUUAACUUUUCAAAAAAUGUAUCUUCUAUUUUAUAGUUUACUAUCAUAUAUAUGUUUAUGUGUUCGCAAAAUAAUUUAUCUAAAGUUAUAUAGUUAAGAGAUAUGCUAAUGAAUUAUAUUAAUUCAUUAUUAGACUGAUAUAAGAAAUUGUUAAAAACGUUAGCCAUAAUGGUUGGCUAAUAAUGGUUGUAUGAGAACAGUUAUAGAAAGUUGUGGCAUAAAUUGUAAAUAACUUAUAUUAAUAGGUUACUUAUUUUCUUAUUUGGUAAUUUAUUUAAAUUUUGGGUUUUGAUUGAAUGUUUAUUCAUAGGUGGGUUUUUAUCUGAAGUAUAUGAGUUGUAUGGGUCUAUAUCUAAACAACCCUAAAUUAUAUUUUGUAUAAUGAGAAACCAGUAUUCCUACCCCGAGGGUAUAGACACAACUUACUAAAUCUCGUUACUAUACAGCAAGCUUAUAAUUGCGCAAUAAUUCGAUCAACCAUCUUAAGUUCAACCAUUCAUGUAACAAGAUUCAAGUUUUCUAAACUUUCCUUAUUAAGGUAACUGAACAUUACAAGUGCCACGUUAUUAUGCGGUUCUAUCAAGUUUUAAUUUUUGUCUCAUAACCACAUCAUCUUUAGGACAAUCAUCUUGUAGUUGAAUAUAUAAACCUUCGAUAUGGCGAUAUUGGAAACGCUUGUUGGUGGGUUGAUUGGUAGAAAUGGUUCCAACAAUUCAAGGAUGAGAAAUGAGCAUUGAGCAACGAACAAAAUAUAUUGUAUUUUAUCACAAAAGAUGUUUGUGCAAUUAAAAGUGCAUUUUAUCACAAAGAGGUGAGCAACGAUCAAUAUAAUUGUUAUUUAUAAAAGGGAACAUUAACAAAAGUUUCCGGUACUGUUUAUUUUAAUAAAAAAUUACAUUUUUACAUUAAAAGUCAAUACUGAUACUAUUUAUUUUACCCUUUAUUUUAUCUUUAUUAUUAAAACUCAAAAUUUUUAAAUUUCUUUUAUUAAUUUUUUUUUUAUAAAAUCACACGUAAAACAAGAAGUAAUCUUUUCUUUUUCUUUUCGUCUCUGCCACAAGCGGCCGACCAUGACUUAAACAAACGCUUUUUGGGUGGGUCAAGGUAUGGGAACGACCCAUUUUAUAUGUUACAUGGUUGUGCAAUUAAAAGUGCAUUGUAUCAUAAAAAGGUGAGCAACGAUCACUAUAAUUGUUAUUUAUAAAAUCACACAAAACACAAGAAGGAAUCUUUUCUUUUUCUUUUUCAUCUCUGCCACUACCAGCCAUGACUUAAAAGAAACGUUUUUUGGUUCAAUGGAUGGGAACGGCCCAUUUUAUAAUAAGGAAAAUUAAUAAAAAAAAAUUUUAAAUUUAAAUUUUAACGAAAAUAAUAAAAAGAUGUUGUAAGUGAAUAAUACAUGAUUGAUUUUUUUGAAUAAAAAAAUAUAUAUUGUUUUAAAUAAACAGUAUUAGGAGUGUUUGGUUCAAAUCCCUUUAUAAUAUUGUUCGUAAAUUUUUCUGGAAGUAGAUGGAAAUGACCCAAUUACAUAUUUCCCCUGCUCACAGACAUUUUCAUUGCACCUAGAAAACCAGUUUUUUGUUAGAAAAUCGAUCCACAUCAAUGGCUCUUGUGAGAACAUCUCCAGGAACCUCCUCUGAUUCCAACACUUUUCGGAGUUAUCGCUACAACGUGUUCUUGAGCUUCAGAGGCGAAGAUACUCGCAAGACUUUUACCGACCACCUCUACACAGCCUUGAACAACGCAGGAUUUCUUACGUUCCGAGACGACGAUGAACUUGAGAGAGGAGAAGAUAUAAAGCCAGGACUGCAGAAAGCGAUCCAGCAGUCACGAACUUCUGUUGUCGUGUUUUCGAAAGAUUACGCUUCAUCCAGGUGGUGUCUUGAUGAGCUUGUGCUGAUCCUUGAACGCAAGAGGACCACCUCGGACCAUGUAGUUUUACCAGUCUUCUACGAUGUCGAUCCGUCCCACGUGAGGAAGCAGACAGGAAGUGUUGGAAAAGCAUUUGCUAGAAGCCAGAAAAAUCAGUCGUCGGAAAAGGUGGAGGGAUGGAGGAAGGCACUUGCAGAGAUUGCAGACCUAGCAGGCAUGGUCUUACAAAAUCAAGCUGAUGGGUAACUUUCAUUAUCUCCAUUUCUCUUCUCUUUCUUGGGUCAAUUUGAUGUAUGAUCCGUGGUGACCUAGAUUUUUAUAUGUUUAUUAAUUCAAUCUCAGUAGUGAAUAAUAAUCUCAAUUUAGGUCAACUUAAAGAAAUCACACUCAACUCAACUUAAGGAUUAGUCAUUUUCCAUGUUAAUCUACUGGUUUCCAGUUGCUUAAAUUUUUUUGAAAGCUGGUGUGGAAAAAAGUUAGGAUGUGAUCUGUCAUGUAUUUGUCUAUAGUUUGUAUAAAUUAUGCGCUGUAUUCCUUUCUUUUUUUUUCAAUUUAAUUUUGUCAGCAGUCCCUUUUUUUUUUUUUUUUUCUUAUUUAAAUAAAGGCAAUCAACAUAUGUUUGAAGGGAACUUUAACGAAAAGCUCCCAGUACUGUUCACUUUAACGAAAAACCACAUUUUUUCACUAAAAAGUAAAUCCUGAUACUAUUUACUUUAUCCUUUAUUUUGUAAUUAUAUAUUUUCCCAAUUCAUUUUUCGUUUUGUUUGCAAAUUCUUAGGUACGAGUCAAAGUUUAUCAAAAAAAUUGUUAAAGUGAUAGGAGACAAGUUAAGUCGCACGCCAUUGAGUGUUGAACCAAAAUUGAUUGGAAUUCAAUCUCAAGCCGAACGCAUCAAUUUGUGGUUCCAAGAUGGAUCAAGUGAUGUUGGUAUAUUUGUUGUGUAUGGCAUGUCUGGAAUAGGGAAGAAAACCAUUGCAAAACAUGUUUACAAUUCAAACUUUGGAAGCUUUCAAGGAAGUAGUUUCAUUGAAAAUAUCAAAAAAACAGCAGAUCGACCAAAUGGCUUAGUUCAAAUACAAAUGCAACUUCUUUGUGAUAUUUUGAACGGCAGAGAAGUGAAAAUACACAGUGUUAGUGAGGGAAUAAUUAAGAUUGAAAGGGCCAUAAGCUCUAAAAGAGUUCUACUUGUUCUUGAUGAUGUUGACCAUAUGGACCAAUUAGAUGCAAUCCUAAGGAUGAAAGAUCAGUUUUAUCCUGGAAGUAAGAUACUAAUAACAACUAGGUGUGAAAGGUUGUUAAAGGCUGAUCAAGUUACAGAGGUGCACAGAGUUCAAACUUUGGAUGACAAUGAAUCAUUAAAGCUUUUCAGUUGGCAUGCUUUUGGCCAGGACCAUCCCAUAGAAGAAUACAUGGAGCACUCAAAACAGCUAGUGCAACAUAGCGGCGGACUUUCAUUAGCUCUAAAAGUUUUGGGUUCUUCUUUAUCAGGAGGAAGUAUAGGUGUAUGGGAAAGUGCAUUGGAGAAGCUAAAAGUUAUUCCUGAUGGUGAAAUCAUGACUAAACUAAGAAUAAGCUAUGAAAGUUUAAGUAAUCUAUCAUACUUGCGAAGACUACAUUUAGAUGAGAAUCCAAUUUGCAGUCUGCCAGUUUUCAUCAAAGGUUUGAGGAGGAUCGAUGAACUCUCUUUCUGGGGUUGUGAGAGGCUCGAAUCGCUUGUGGGGUUGCCGGAAGUGCACCAAAAGAUAAAUAUAGUCAGAUGCAUAUCAUUAAAAAAAAUAACUUAUCAUUCCCCUCCGCGACCGGUUACAAUACAUUUGCGUGACAACUGGAAUCUUGUUGAGUGGGAGCACUAUUACAAGUUAGAGCCUAUUGAUAGAGUUGAUGUGGAAAUGAUCAAACUUUUGGGCUUGUGCAACUUGGAAUCCAUGCCAGCUGUUCGAAUGCGUUAUCCUUCCUACACAAACGGGGUUCCAAAAGAGGUCCCCGUCCAGGUGCGCCUCUUUUUCUCUCUCUCUCGUAAGUCUUAAAUAUAUAAUGGGAAAGAAAUGACUGAGUAAUGUUGUGAUGACUGUGGCAAAUACAUAGGGACUGUAUCAACAUGGUAUAUUCAGCACAUUUUUUGUUGGGAAUGAGGUUCUAGACCUGUUCAGCUAUAAAAGUACCAAGUCUUCGAUAUCUUUUAUUGUCCCUAUACUACUUGCUAGUCACAGAAUUCGAGGCUUGAACAUCUUUGCUACCUAUGCAAAGGAAAAUUCAAAUAAUUAUUCUAGUGGACCUAAUAUUGGUCCAAUAAUGAUCAAAGUGAGAAACAAGAGUAAGGGUUUGAAGUGGAUCUAUUCCCCAGAGUUCUAUGGAAUUCCAGGGGACGGAGAGGAAAUGAUAUGGUUGAGCCAUUGGAAGAUGGAGAAUAAAACAAUAUUACAAUGUGGAGAUGAAGUGGUGGUUUCGGUAAUAACCGGACCACGUGACUUGUUUUCGGUAAAGGAGUUUGGUGUCGAGCUUGUGCAAGAGCACCAAGACAAGAUGGGUACCCAACACAACACCAAAUCCGAUCCUAAUUAUCCAUUUGUUAUCGGUGGAGAUUUGAAGACGUUUGACUGCAAACCGGGAAUAUACUUCCUUGGCAAUUAUGAAAGAAAAGAUAUUGAUGACAUUGAUAUCCUCACCAUGGACUCUGAUGAAGAAGACACAAGUAUGUUGUGUUGUUGUAUUGCAUUGAAUUAUACUCCAUCCAAACACUUACAGGUGCGUCCGUAUUCAUUUCAAAAAUGUUACCAAUAAAUUUUAUGUUAUUUGUAUGUUUUUCAGACAAAGAAGGACAAGAGGAUGAACCUGAUUACACAUGUGCAAAGACGAGGGCUGCUAGCAAUAACUACUGCCUGAGAGGCUGGAAGGUGCUCCUCACAUUUGUCGGCUUCUUUUUUGCGCUUGCUCUAGUAGGUUGGUCCUCCAUCUCCCAAAAAAGGAAUCGACACUAGUCCACAAGCCCACCAUGAGUUUGUAAUUUGACUUGAUAUAGAUAUAUCUUUUCAUUCCUUGCUCUCAAGAUGUUUUCUACCUUCAAAACUUCAGCUUCAAAGCUAAGCACUCUUAACUGCUUGAGAUAUUAAAGCCCCUUGCAACUAGAUACCGAAGUUCAAAUGUGUUCAACGCCAUCAAAUAUAGCAUAAAAUACAUCCAGCAUUAGCUAUACUAGCAGAGUAGCGGUAAAUAAGUAAAACAAGAUUUAUUUUGGAGGGGGGGGGGGGGGGGGCGGGGAUUAUUUCGGCACCGGGGAAAGCAAAAACAUCCAAUCUGCUUAUAAAUGACAAAGUUACAAAUCUUAAUUGUCGUUUACAACAAAAUCAUUCUUAAAGACUCGGCUCCCCAUUGAAAUUGUGUAAAUUGCAUAAAUAUCAAUACAACAGAUAUUAGAUAGAAUAAUAUAUAUCAAAUAAAUUAACGACAGGCAAUUUCAAAAGCUUUAAAUGCAAUCUGAAUACAUGGCAAGUAGGGGUAAACAUGUGAACAGAAAAAUCAUUAACAAUUUCAAAAGCUUUAAAAACCGAAAACUCUAAACUAUAGACUAAAUAUUAAAAAGUGAAAUUGAAAUGGGCUCUCAACAAAAUUGAAAAAAGACCGGGAUGAAUUGGUGAAUUCAAAGCAGGCCUUGUUAAUGCUACGAGGCCCAAUGGGAUCCGCAUAAAUAUUUUUCGUUAUUAUUAUUUUAUUUUUAACAAACGAUAUUAUUUACGUGAGUUUAGUGUCAUAAUGGAUUAUCAAUAAUAUGGUUCAAAUUCGUUUUUGGCAAAAAUUGAACCUAUUCUACUUACAAAUGAAGAAGAAUACCAUUAGACUUUAGUACUAAGUGGUUUGUUAUUUUAUUUAUAUUUUAUGGAAAAUGAAAGAAAGCAAUGAACAGCUGUACGUAAACUAAAUACAUCAAGGAAUGAAAUGAAGAGGAGUGGGAGACUAACGUUAGAAAGGUAAACGCACCACGACGGCGGCGACAUGGCGGUCAUUUAACGGAAAAUAACAGACAAAUCAGCCUCCAGAUCAAGUGUUGAAGCAAAACUCUGAAAGAUCGAGACUACCUACAGCUGAGCUCCAACCGACCAACCGUUGAUGGAGGCAAUCAGGAAGCUCAGAGAUCAGGUCGCCAAGCAACAGCAGGUACUCUCUCUUGUUUGAUUCCGAAUUUGUAUUUAUGGAUUUUGAUAUGAACAUAAUCUGCGUUGAUUGCGAGAUACUGAGAUUGCUUAAUGAAAUAAUAUUUAUAUAAUUGUUCGAAUUGAAUUGGAUCGAUUCGAGUAGAAUUUCACUAUUUCUGAGCUGUUUGGGGCUGUGUUGGAGUGCAAUGUUGCUGAAUUUCUGAAAUUUUGUGCUAGGCGUUGCUAAUUGCUUAUCGAUUUUCGGAUUUAAUUGGAUGCUUAAUUUUUACAUUUUCGAAAAACUUCAAGCGAAAAUGGCAUAUAAUUCAACGUUCUAUGCUUUGUUAAUGCAUAAGAGUUAGUCGAAGUUUUAUCGAGUUUGCUUUUGAUUAUUUUGUGAACACCGUCAGGCUGUGUUCAAACAAUUUUCUGGUGGCAUAUACGGGGGAUCGGAUAAUGUUGCCUCGGAUGAAAAUGAAUUUCAACAGCAUCAGAAACUCGAGAAGCUGUACAUAUCAACUCGUGCUGCCAAGGUUGCUACGCUUAUUUUUGUCUGUGCUUUAAACGAGCAUCACGUUAGUUGUGUUACCUAUCGUUUUUUGCUUCUUUUUUAACAGCAUUACCAAAAGGAAAUUGUCCGCGGAGUGGAAGGUUACAUUGUGGCCAGUUCAAAGCACGGUGAAAUAGGUAUGUUGCUUGAAAUGCAUUGUCUUUUCUUGGGAGUUUGGAUAAAUUCAUGUUGGUUUUAUCAGUUGGUAUACAUAAUACUUUUUCAACAGGUACCAAGCUAUCAGAAGAUCGCAGGAAAUAUGGUUCUGAAAAGACUUGCAGCAGUGGUAACACAUUGUCGAGAGCUGCACUGAGUUUUGGAAGAGCUCGCGCCCAACUGGAAAAAGAGUGCGGAGUUCUUCUUAAAGCCCUUGGCACACAGAUUCAAGUCAAAUUAUUACUAACAAUGGCUCAUUAAGUAAAAAUCAAAUAUUGCCAGUGCCGGUUUCAUACAAAUGGAAUUUCAACUGACUAAUUUUCAUGUGCAUUUGAUAAUUUCGAAAGAAAUUUACAGUAAAAAUUGUUUCCAUUUUCACGUGUGGUUCAAGAACUGGACUACUUUUUGUGUUAUUAUGCAUCAUAUAACAAACCGGUUCACCAUUUCUAUCUAUAGGUUUGCAUAAUAACUCUUUCUGUGCUUAUCAAUUUGCCUCUGUAGGUUGCAGAGCCUUUAAAAGCAAUGAUAGUGAGAGCGCCCUUGGAGGAUGCUCGACAUCUAGCUCAACGAUAUGCUAGAAUGCGGCGAGAAGCUGAAGCUCAGGUAUAUGCAGUUUCUUCUGUUUCCUACCAAUUUUAUACUACAGUGAUUUUAUAUGUUACAUGGUGAUCGUACAUUUUCUCGGUUAACUUUUUUUGUUUUCUUUUAUAAGUGUUUGUUCAUUUUGAGACAAUCAUGCAUUGGUAUUCAUAGAGAACGCAAAAUCUUAAGAUAUUUAAUGUAAACUUGUUGAGAUUGCUUCAUUACUUGAAGCUUUGUUGUAAUUUGGUUUUUGGUUUUUUUAUUACUCCUUCAGAUUUGUCUAUAUAUACUAACUUGCACCGGGAUAGGCUAUAGAUGCUUCCAGACACUAGACCAAAGCACCGGAUUCUGCAGGUAAUGCUGAUAUUAUCAUGAAACUAGAAGCUGCUGAAGCCGAGCUUCAGGAGCUGCAGUCUAGCGUUGCAAUAUUGGGAAAAGAAGCUAGUGCAGCUAUGGCUGCUGUUGAAGGUCAACAACAAAGAUUGACUCUUCAGCGGCUUCUUGCGAUGGUAACGGAUUGCCUUCCCCUUUUUAUUUAAGUAUUAAGACCUUGGCCUGUUCUAGUUACAAGAAUAAAAAGGUCGUACCCAGUGCACAAGGCUCCCGCUUUACGCAGGGUCUGGGAGAGAUGAAUGUCGGCUAGCCUUACCCCCAUUUAUGAAGAGGCUACUCCCAAGGUUCUAGUUACAAGAAUGAAAAGGAAAUUAAUUUUGUAAAUUUAUCAUUUUUCGUCCCCAUUCCAGGUUGAAGCAGAGCGCAACUACCAUCCAAACAUUCUUCAGAUACUUGAUCAGCUUGAAGGCGAGGUGUGAAAUAUCCUAAAGUCUUCCUUUCAGCGUGACAAUUUCUUUUCCCAAUUCAUUUGGCUGUAUAUUAUUCUAGUGUCUUGCUACUAAAAGAAGAGAUCAUUGACACUAUUUGUUGGGACAGAUUUUGUCAGAAAAGCAGCGAAUUGAAGCAUCGCAUAGUCCGCCUACAGAGGACGCUAUGCCUCCACCACCAUCGUAUAAGGAUCUCAGCCGUAGCUUUGCUUCUGAAACCUAUGAUGAAUUGACAGAGUUGAGGGACUCUUUCUUAGGAGAGGUAUCUUUAUGCUAAUGUUGUUGUAUCCAAGUUUUAGUCUGUUCGACUCUUUAGUUUCUAGUAACUGUUUCUUUUCGCCUACCGCAGGUAAUGUACACCUUCCACACUGUAACUGAUGUGGAGUUAAGUUUGUCAUUCGGGGAUUACGUUGUCGUCCGGAAGGUUCUGUCAUCUUUCCUGCUUGCAUGCUUUCAUCUUAUAUUCAUGUUCGGAUUUAUUUCUUUCGUAUUGAGGUUAAAUUUUCAUGUUCAGAGACGUUCACUCAGGUAUGUUCGUCAAUGCAUAUGCAUUAGCACACCACCGAGUGUAUUAGAAUAUGGAUUUCAGUUUUGGGUGCUGCAUGCAUUAAUGUAGUUUGUGUGGUUUUGGUUAUUGCUGCCGCUGAGCGUGAGUGGCUUUCUGUAGUUGCUGAGAGUUAUAUUGUGAGCAUAAUUCAUACAGCAGCUUUCAUAUACGGCACAUGUAGUCGGCACUGCAUUUAGAAAGAGAAAGUUAUAUUUUCUUCACUGUCUAUUCAAAACUGUUGAUUGAUAAUAAUUGACUCAAGUGAAUGCCACAUCAUCUGCCACAUCAUCUGCCAUGUCAUUCAUAUUUCUGUUUUGAAACCUGUUGUUCCCUUGAUAGCCUUGAAUAUCACCAAUUCGGGAUCCUGCAUUUGAACUCUCUCCUUGUGAAUACCCGGAAUUCUGAUGACCACCUGUGACCUUAUCUCCUUGAACAUACAUUGCAGCCAUGCCACUUGCCAGCGUAGAGACCCUUGCUUCCAUAGCAGAUUCAACACCAAUCAACUGCGCUCUGAAAUCUUUCAGCGGAAUAGAAGUCUCCCUUGCUAAAACUACAGCCUUGACAAUAUCAAACUCCGGUGGUAAUCCAGAUAAAGCAGUAAUAACAAAAUCAUUAUCAGUAAUCCUCUCCCCUGCAGACACAAGCUGAUCCCGAAUGGCUUUCAACCGAAGCAAAUACUUGUCAAUAGAAUCACUGCCUUUUUGAAUUGUAUGAAACUCAAUUUUGAGUUGAUUAAUCCUAGCCCUGGACACAGACGCAUAGCGGUCUUGUAAAUUUAUCCAAGCUUCAUGAGACGUUUUACACCCUAUUACAUAUUCCAUAGCAUCAUCCGACAAAGUAGCAAUUAACAGACUCAAUAGGGCCAUAUCUUUCUGAACCCAAGAUUUAUAAGCUGCUGUGAUUUCUGUAGUCACUCCAUUCUCAGUGUUAACCACAAACUUUGGUGGACAAGGAGACUCACCAGUAAAGAAUUCAAAGAAAUCAUACCCUCGUAAAACCGACUGAAACUGAUAAUUCAACUUAACAAAAUUGUCAUCUUGCAACUUCACAGUCAACAUACCAAGCAAACUUUCAAUGCGUACUGAUUUAUCAGACAUCUUUAUCACAAAGUACUGACAAGAAAUCAAUCUCAAUCACAAAUAUGUUUAACUCCAAACUUCAACAAUGAUCACCUCUUCAAUAUAUUCUCACUACUUCUUGGCAUCGGCCUUCUAUAUGUAUAUACUUCAAAAGCUGAAAUUCCAGCAAUUUCGCAAAUGAACAACUGUAAUCAUAUCACACCACAACUAUAAUUCGUCUAUCUUCAACAAAUCUUGGCAUCAGCCUUAAUCAAAUCCAACACAUAACCCAUAUAUGAAAAACCAAAGAAAACAUUCCAAUUCACCAUAUAUCUUCACUGAAGCAAAAACGCAAACACUUGAUGUGCAAAGAAUAAGGAAAGAAACCAACAACUUGAUUGAAUGACCCUCAACCCAAAAUUCAUCAGCAAGCGUUCAAGCACUUCACCAAUCCUCCAAGAACUCCACCACAGCCUUCAACGAUCGAUCCCAAAGAAUUUCUCAGCGGAAGAAAAUACCCAAAAAAAAAAUCAACCUUGGCUCGAUACCAUCUUAACCAAGAAGAUCAGACUUGCAGAAAGAAAAAGAAAGAAACAAUACAGAGAAUAUAGAAGAAAACUUAGAAAGAAUAUGAAAGGUUUUGUAUUGAUAGAAUGAUAUUUUCUUACAAACAAUAAGCUGCAAUCAGCUUUUUAUAUCCCUAUAGUAGCCUAACUACCUUGCUUACUGUGUAAGCUACACAGCACCAUCCUAACUAACUUUCAACAGAAAUAUGAAUGACAUGGCAGAUGAUGUGGCAGAUGAUGUGGCCUUCACUUGAGUCAAUUAUUAUCAGUCAACAAAAACUUAUAUGUUGCAUGUUCUGGCUUUUAAAGUGAGUCGGCAUCAGAGUUUUUAUUUGAGAAAAAUCAGUUUUGUGUCCAUGUGUUUUCAAAGAAAAUAUUUUUGUUUUUAAUCACUGAUUUUUCAUUGUGCUUCAAUUAGAAAUCAAUUAUGAGAAUCUGCCUUGUGAUUUUCGUAAUUGGUUGAUUUCAAAAAAUCAUUACAUUUCAUACAUUCUGCAUGAUCGCGUUAGUAUCUUGCAAAGUUCGAGGACACAAUGAUUGACGGUCGCGUUAGUGUCGUGCCACUUUCACUUGAAGGCUGAAGAGAUCAAGUAGCAAAGCGCAAUGAAAAAAAUUGCCUACUAGUAUGUGGGUCUAGUUAAUGAGUUUUGUAAGUCUUUCCAUACUCAUUUCUCUUAUUGUUUGUUCUAGCUUAAGAGUCUGAGGAUUUUCUCAGUGGUGAGUUUUACCUUGUUUAAUUCUACAUCAUGUGUACACAUGUUAUUUGUCUUUUUAUUGCAAAUGUGUAGGAUAAUCUUUCACUUAUUUUCUUAUAGUGAACUCUAUCUUAGACAUUCAUCAACAUAUAGAGUUUACGACAGAGGACUUUUGCUACCAUAUUAUUCAGUGCAUUGAUUAAUUUGUAAAGCUCUCAUUUAUCCAAAUUAUAAAAUAUAAUCUGUACAAGACAUUAAAAAAAUGGAAGUGUCUUUCAACAGUUUGGAUGUCAUGUAUGGCCAUAUCCUUUAUUUCCAGAGUAAUGUUAUUCAUACCAUGUUUUUAUACCACAUUUAUAUACCACCUUAGGUGGCAUCUGAUGUGGACAACCACAUUAUUUGAAAAAUUUGCAAAACUCGAGAAAAUGAAGGAGAAAUACUCCUUGUAUGCCACAAUCAUAAUUUAAUUAACUAGUUUUUCUUAAUUAUUAGUUUAUUAAAUAAUGAACUAAAUUUAAAAAUCUGAUUAAUUGAAAUGAUGUGUCUGUUCACAUCAAAUGCCACCGAAUAUGGUAUGAAAAUAUUGUACAAAAACAUAAUAUAAAUAACAUUACUCUUAUUUCCACCAUUCUUAUCAACUGGAUGGGGAUAUAAAGACAUAAUGUGGCAAUCGUCCAUUAGAAAGGUAAUGUACGUUUUGAAAAUCGUGGCAAAUAUUGAAUGAGUAAUGACGCCUCUAAAAAUAAAAUUUAGUUAUUUGAAAGAAUCUUUCAUAAAAUAAAGUAACGAAUAAUCAACAAAAGUAGCAGUACACCAAGUUGAACCUUUUUCAACGUUGAAAUGAAAUAUGAAAGGAGAUCAAGUUGAUAUUAUUCAUCUACUUUUUUUUUUUUAAUAAACGAUAUUGUCUACGUUAAGAAAAUGGACUUGGCUAAGCCUCACAAUGGACUAGCAAUAAUAUGAUUCAAAUUCACAUUUAGCAAGAAUCAAACCAAAAGAAGAGAAAUAUUAUUAGACUGUAACAUUAUUCAUCCACUUUUAAAUAAUAAACAAUCAAGAAAAACACUGCACGCAGUCCCCUCUCGUCACUUACCACUAGUGCCAUCACUUCCCUGAGCAAAAGAGAUAUUUCCAAUUGCUUGACCAAAACAAGCAUUGAGUUCAUCCAUCAAUAACAGGUCCACAUCUCAACCCAAAUAUAAUGACGUCAAAGGAUAGGGGAAAAUGAGAAGGAAACUCUGGAGGGUAGAGGGAAGGAAAAGGAGAAAAGGACAAAGGAAGAAGGGAAAAGUAGAAAGGGAAGGAGGACAAUGAGAGGAAAUUUCGGAGAAUAGAGAAAAGGAGAAGGGAAAAGUAGAAAAGGAGAAAGGAAGGGAUAAGGGGAAGGAAGCUUAGGAGGGUAGGUAGAAGAAUGCAUAAAAAUAAAAAAUAAAAAAUAUAAAAGGAGAGUCGACUUCACCAUUAUGUCUACUAGCGGAAAGGAGCAACAUUGUAAAUUAUAUUUCGUAUAAUGAGAAAUUAGUAUUCCUACUUGAGGAUAUGACACAACUUGCCGAAUCUCGUUACGAUGCAGCAAGUUUAUAAUUGCACAACAAUUUGAUCAACCAUCUUAAGUUCAAGCAUACAUGUAUUAAGAUUCAAAUUUUUCCAGAUUUUCCUUAUGAAACUAACUGAACAUUACAAGUGCCACAUUAUUAUACGGUUCUAUCAAGUUUUAAUUAUUGUCUCAUAACCACAUCAUCUUUAGGACAAUAAUCUUGCGGUUGAAUAUAAAAACCUUCGACAUGGUGAUAUUGGAAACACUAGUUGGUGGGUUGAUUGGUAGAAAUGGUUCCAACACUUCAAGGAUGAGAAAUGAGUAUUGAGCAACGAUCAAAAUAUAUUGUAUUUUAUCACAAAAGAUGUGUGCAAUUAAAAGUGCAUUUUAUUACAAAAAAGAUGAGCAACGACCAAAAUAAUUGUUAUUUAUAAAAUCACACAUAAAACAAGAAGGAAUCUUUUCUUUUUCUUUUCAUCUCUGCCACUAGCGGCCGACCAUGACUUAAACCAUCUCCAACCCUUGGGCUAAAAGCCAAAUUUUUUAGCCCGGAAAAUUUAGCUUUUAACCUAGAAACAUCUUUCUACUCCAACCCUUCUACCCUAAAAUUUUAGCCCGGAAUUAUUAAAGAAUGAAAUUAGCCUAAAUUUUUUUCUUAAAUCAAUUUUUUUUUUAAAAUAAAUAUGUAGAUUAUUGUAAAUUAAUUUUAUGAACAUUUUAAUCUAAAAAAAUUUAAAUUCCGAUAAACAUUUCGCAUUUAGCCCGAGGAAAGCUGGGGGUAUUUGGCCCAGAAAUAGCAUUUAGCAUUUAGCCUAAAAUUUUAGCAUGGGUUGGAGAGUGUUUAGGGGGUAAUUUGGUAGGUAAUUUGGCUUUUAGCCGAAAUGGUCUUAAAGAAACGCUUUUUGGGUCAAUGGAUGGGAACGACCCAUUUUAUAAUAUUGUUUGUAAAUUUUUCUGGAAGUAGAUGGAAAAGACCGAUGUACAUAUUUCCCCUGCUCACAGACAUUUGCAUUGCACCUAGCAAACACCAGUUUUUUUGUUUGAACAUCGAUCCACAUCAAUGGCUCUUGUGAGAACAUCUCCAGGAACCUCCUCUGAUUCCAACACUUUUCGGAGUUAUCGCUACGACGUGUUCUUGAGCUUCAGAGGCGAAGAAACUCGCAAGACUUUUACCGACCACCUCUACACAGCCUUGAACAACGCAGGAUUUCUUACGUUCCGAGACGACGAUGAACUUGAGAGAGGAGAAUAUAUAAAGCCAGGACUGCAGAAAGCGAUCCAGCAGUCGCGAACUUCUGUUGUUGUGUUUUCGAAAGAUUACGCGUCAUCCAGGUGGUGUCUUGAUGAGCUUGUGCUGAUCCUUGAACGCAAGAGGACCACCUCGGACCAUGUAGUUUUACCAGUCUUCUACGAUGUCGAUCCGUCCCACGUGAGGAAGCAGACAGGAAGUGUUGGAAAAGCAUUUGCUAGAAGCCAGAAAAAUCAGUCGUCAGAAAAGGUGGAGGGAUGGAGGAAGGCACUUACAGAGAUUGCAGACCUAGCAGGCAUGGUCUUACAAAAUCAAGCUGAUGGGUAACUUUCAUUAUCUCCAUUUCUCAUUUCUUUCUUGGGUCAAUUUGAUGUAUGAUCCGUAGGGACCUAGAUUUGUAUGUAUUUAUUAAUUCAAUCUCAGUAGUGAAUAAUAAUCUCAAUUUAGGUCAACUUAUAGAAAUCACACUCAACUCAACUGAAGGAUUAGUCAUCUUCAAUGUUAAUCUACUGGUUUCCAGUUGCUUAAAUUUUUUUGAAAGCUGGUGUGGAAAAAAGUUUGGAUAAAUUAUGCGCUGUAUUCCUUUCUCUGUAACUUGAUAUGUGAUGUAUUUGUCUAUAGUUCGUAUAAAUUAUGCGCUGUAUUCCUUUCUCUUUUUUUUUUCAAUUUAAUUUUGUCAGCAGUCCUCUUUUUUUUCUUAUUUAAACAAAGGCAAUCAACAUAUGUUUUAGUUAUCUAAUUUCCCCAAUUCAUUUUUCAUUUUGUUUGCAAAUUCUUAGGUACGAGUCAAAGUUUAUCAAAAAAAUUGUUAAAGUGAUAGGAGACAAGUUAAGUCGCAUGCCAUUGAGUGUUGAACCAAAAUUGAUUGGAAUUCAAUCUCAAGCCGAGCGCAUCAAUUUGUGGUUCCAAGAUGGAUCAAGUGAUGUUGGUAUAUUUGUUGUGUAUGGCAUGUCUGGAAUAGGGAAGACAACCAUUGCAAAACAUGUUUACAAUUCAAACUUUGGAAGCUUUCAAGGAAGUAGUUUCAUUGAAAAUAUCAAAGAAACAGCAGAUCGACCAAAUGGCUUAGUUCAAAUACAAAUGCAACUUCUUUGUGAUAUUUUGAAUGGCAGAGAAGUGAAAAUACACAGUGUUAGUGAGGGAAUAAUUAAGAUUGAAAGGGCCAUAAGCUCUAAAAGAGUUCUACUUGUUCUUGAUGAUGUUGACCAUAUGGACCAAUUAGAUGCAAUCCUAAGGAUGAAAGAUCAGUUUUAUCCUGGAAGUAAGAUACUAAUAACAACUAGGUGUGAAAGGUUGUUAAAGGCAGAUCAAGUUACAGAGGUGCACAGAGUUCAAACUUUGGAUGACAAUGAAUCAUUAAAGCUUUUCAGUUGGCAUGCUUUUGGCCAGGACCAUCCCAUAGAAGAAUACAUGGAGCACUCAAAACAGCUAGUGCAACAUAGCGGCGGACUUCCAUUAGCUCUAAAAGUUUUGGGUUCUUCUUUAUCAGGAGGAAGUAUAGGUGUAUGGGAAAGUGCAUUGGAGAAGCUAAAAGUUAUUCCUGAUGGUGAAAUCAUGACUAAACUAAGAAUAAGCUAUGAAAGUUUAAAAGAUGACCAUGACCGGAAAUUAUUCCUCCACAUUGCUUGUUUCCUAAUAGGAAGGAACAAAAGCUACAUUGUUAGAAUAUUCGAUGGAUGUGAUUUCUAUACAAUCAUUGGCAUGCAAAAUCUCAUUGAUAGAUGCUUGGUGACACUUGAUGAAUACGGCAAGGUGAAAAUGCAUGACAUGAUUCGUGCUAUGGGAAGAGAAAUUGUUCGCCAAGAAUCAGAAGAGCCUGAGAAACGUAGUAGAUUAUGGCGCCAUAAGGAUUCUUUCCAAGUAUUGAGGAAAAAGAAUGUAAGAAACAUGCCUUUUAUGUCUAUAUAUGUAUUUCUUCUUGUGAAAAUUAUGCAUAAUAAUGUCUUUUUUUUUCCUUUAGGGUACAAAAAAAAUCCAAGGUCUUGUCCUGGAUAUGCGUAAUCAUCCUGCAAACAAUCCAAUAAACACAAAUGAGAUAGUCUUGGAAACCAAUGCAUUUGCAAAGAUGCGUAAUUUACAACUACUCCAUCUUAGUCAUGUACGACUGGAUGGAUGUUAUGCAGAUUUCCCUACAGGAUUAAGAUGGUUGUGUUGGCUUGAAUUUCCUUUGGAUUCUAUACCAAUUGAUUUUCCUUUGGAGAACGUAAUUGUUCUUGAAAUGCAAUACAGUAGCUUGAGACAAGUAUGCAAAGGAACAAAAGUAUGUUACUCUAUACAUUUCAAUUCAUUUUACUUAUUUUGUUAGUUUUUUAUUUGUUGAGUAACUCCAUGUGUUAAAAUGAAUUACUAUGUUUUCUUUAAUUCGAUGACUAAUUUUUUAUGUUAGAUACUUAUUUCAUUGUUCUUUUUUCUUUUCUUUUUUUUUUCCUCUAUUUCCACAGUUUCUUCCAUCGUUGAAGAUCCUUGACAUCAGCCAUUCUCAAUGCCUUAGUGAAACCAUUGACUUCUUUUCCCCAAUCUAGAGGAACUGAUUCUUGUAGAUUGCACAAGCCUGAAGAAUGUUCAUGAAUCCAUUGGAAACCUGGAGAGACUCGUGUACUUGAAUAUGAAGGAUUGCAAGAAUCUUAGGAUGCUUCCGAAGAACAUGUGCAUGCUUAAAUCACUUGAAACACUCAUUUUAUCUGGUUGCUCAAAUCUUGAUGAGUUUCCAGUGGAGAUGAUGAAGAAGAUGGAGUCUCUGAAAGUUCUUCAGACAGAUGGAAUUGCAAUAGGUGAAUUGUCGCCAGAAAGAUGUUUGAGUUCUUUUCCAUGCUCUUUAGUAGAGUUAAGUCUGAAGGGGUGCAAUCUUUCUGAUGAUGUCUUUCUUACGGAUUUAAGUAAUCUAUCCUACUUGAGAAGACUACAUUUGGAUGAGAAUCCAAUUUGCAGUCUGCCAGUUUUCAUCAAAGGUUUGAGGAGGAUCGAUGAACUCUCUUUCAAGGGUUGUGAUAGGCUCGAAUCCCUUGUGGGGUUGCCGGAAGUACACCAAAGGAUGAGUAUAGUCGGAUGCAUAUCAUUAAAAAAAAUAACUUUUCAUUCCCCUAAGCAAUUGUAUCCAAUAUAUGUGGGUGACAACUGGAAUCUUGUUGAGUGGGGGUGCUAUUACAAAUUAGAGCCUAUUGAUAGAGUUGAUGUGGAAAUGAUCAAACUUUUGGGCUUGUGCAACUUGGAAUCCAUGCCAGCUGUUCAAAUGCAUUAUCCAGACUCAGACAGCGAUCCAAAAGAGGUCCCCGUCCAGGUGCGCCUUUCUUUCUCUCUCUCAUAAGUCUUAAAUAUAUAAUGGGAAAGAAAUGACUGAGUAAUAUUGUGAUGACUGUGGCAAAUACAUAGGGACUCUAUGAAUGUGGUAUAUUCAGCACGUUUUUUGUUGAGAAUGAGGUCCCAGGCCGGUUCAGCUAUAAAAGUACCAAGUCCUCGAUAUCUUUUAUUGUCCCUUUACUACUUGCUAGUCACAGAAUUCGAGGCUUGAACAUCUUUGCUACCUAUGCAAAGGAAAAUUCAAAUAAUUAUUUUACUAGACCUGGCAUUGCUCCAAUAAUGAUCAAAGUGAGAAACAAGAGUAAGGGUCUGAAGUGGAUCUAUGGCCCAAUAUUCUAUGGUAUCCCAGGUGACGGAGAAGAUAUGAUAUGGUUGAGCCAUUGGAAGAUGGAGAAUAAAACAAUAUUACAAUGUGGAGAUGAAGUGGUGGUUUCGGUAAUAACCGGACCAUGUGACUUGUUUUGGGUAAAGGAGUUUGGUGUCGAGCUUGUGCCAGAGCACCAAGACAAGAUGAGUACCCAACACAACACCAAAUCAGAUCCUAAUUAUCCACUUGUUAUCGGUGGAGAUUUGGAGACGUGGAAGUGCAGACCGGGAAUAUACUUCCUUGGUGGUCGGACAAGUACAGAUACUGACGACAUUGAUAUCCUCACCAUGGACUCUGAUGAAGAAGACACAAGUAUGUUGUGUUGUUGUAUUGCAUUGAAUUAUACUCCAUCGAAACACUUCCAGGUGUGUCUGUAUUCAUUUCAAAAACGUUUCAAUAAAUUUUAUGUUAUUUAUAUGUUUUUCAGACGAAGAAGGGCAAGAGGAUGAAUCUGAUUACACAAUUGCAAAAACGAGGGCUGCUAGCAAUAACUGCAGUUUGAGAGGCUGGAAGGUGCACCUCACGGCUGUCGGCUUCUUUUUCGCGCUUGCUCUAGUAAGUUGGUCCUCCCACUCCCGAAAAAAGAAGCGACAGUCGUCCACAAGCCCACCAUGAGUUUGUAAUUUGACUUGAUAUGGAUAUAUCUUUGCAUUCCUUGCUCUCAAGAUGUUUUCUACCUUCAAAACUUCAGGUUCAGAGCUAAGCAUUCUUAACCGCUUGAGAUAUAAAUGCCCUUUGUAACUAGAUACCGAAGUUCAAAUGUGUUCAACUCCAUCAAAUAUAGCAUAAAAUACAUCCAGCAUUGAAUGCAUGUGUUUUGAACUACAAGAAAUCUUAUACAUUGGGUAGACCGUAUAGUGUAUCACAUUCAAAUGCAAUUAUUCAUGAAGAUGAAGUAUGAGAUGCCCUAAUUGUUUUACCAGAAGAUGCUGGAUCAAUUGUCUCAAAAAAUUAUUUCGGUAAUUGUUGGUAAAACUCAAAGUUAUCCAAAAGUUUGGGGUCAGCAUAAGCUUAUGCAUCAGCAUCAGAUUGUGUCUCCUAUCAGACUGAAGGAAUAAAAUUACUCAAUUUGUGCA